This 90-nucleotide transfer RNA is filed under the name Pseudomonas fluorescens. Its description in RNAcentral is "tRNA-Arg". The record is from RNAcentral. Lineage: Bacteria; Pseudomonadati; Pseudomonadota; Gammaproteobacteria; Pseudomonadales; Pseudomonadaceae.
GGGGCCGUGGCCUGGGGGGCCGGUUUUUCGGGGGCCGGUACGCGAUCGAGGUGGAUAUUGACCCGCCGGUUCUUCGCCCGGUUGGCCGGA